GAUGAAGAACGUAGCGAAAUGCGAUAAGUAAUGUGAAUUGCAGAAUUCAGUGAAUCAUCGAAUCUUUGAACGCACCUUGCGCCCUUUGGCUAUUCUGAAGGGCAUGCCUGUUUGAGUAUCGUGAACACCUCAACUCUCAUGGUCUGCCAUGAUGAGCUUGGACUUUGGGGGUCUUGCUGGCCUACUGUCAGCUCCUCUCAAAUGAAUCAGCUUACCAGUGUUUGGUGGCACCACAGGUGUGAUAACUAUCUACGCUUGUGGUUUUCUGCCAGGUAACCUCCAGUGAUGGAGGUUCGCUGGAGCUCACAAAUGUCUCUCCUCAGCGAGGACAGCUUUUUGAACGUUUGAUCUCAAAUCAGGUAGGACUACCCGCUGAACUUAAGCAUACAAUAAGCGGAGGA
Molecule: unclassified non-coding RNA, 401 nt
Filed under: soil metagenome
Description: partial contains 5.8S ribosomal RNA, internal transcribed spacer 2, and large subunit ribosomal RNA
Rfam family: 5.8S ribosomal RNA (bases 1-121)
Source: RNAcentral